GCCUUGGUGGUCUAGUGGUUAAGAUUCAGUGCUCUCACCGCCAUGGCCCAGGUUCAUUUCCUGGUCAGGGAA
Non-coding RNA from Equus caballus (horse), 72 nucleotides. NCBI's taxonomy places the organism in Eukaryota, Metazoa, Chordata, Mammalia, Perissodactyla, Equidae. The record is from Rfam.